UUUUUUUUGUAAAUAUAAAAAGUAUUCUCUGCUCAAUGAAUAAUUUAAAUAGCUGCGGAUAUCUGUACUAAGGUAGCAUAAUCAAUUGUGGUGUUAAUUGCGGACUAGUAUGAAGGAGAUAAUUGUUAAAAAUUUUAUUGUAUUUUUUUAAUGAAAUUAGAUUUGUAGUAAAAAUACUACAAUUUUUUUUAGGGACAAGAAGACCCUAUAAAGCUUUAAUAUUACUUUUAUAGUUAGAUGUAGAAGAUUAUUUUAAUUGGGGCAAUUUUUUAAUUAAAUAUAAAAUUAUAUUGAAAAAAUAGAAUACUUAAGGAUCCACUAAUAGUGAAAUAUGAAAAAGUUACUUUAGGGAUAACAGCAUAAUUUUUAUUAUGAAGAGCUUAUUUAUAAUAUUGAUUAUGACCUCGAUGUUGGAUUAAUUUAAUAUUUUGGUGAAGACGCUAAAAAUAUAUGACUGUUCGUCAUUUUAAUAAUUACA
This 478-nucleotide ribosomal RNA is filed under the name Parapurcellia convexa. RNAcentral describes it as "partial 16S large subunit ribosomal RNA". Lineage: Eukaryota; Metazoa; Arthropoda; Arachnida; Opiliones; Pettalidae. The record is from RNAcentral.